AAUAGAUACCCUGGUAGUCCACGCCGUAAACGGUGGGCACUAGAUGUGGGGCUCUUCCCAUGAGUUCCGCGUCGCAGCUAACGCAUUAAGUGCCCCGCCUGGGGAGUACGGCCGCAAGGCUAAAACUCAAAGGAAUUGACGGGGGCCCGCACAAGCGGCGGAGCAUGCGGAUUAAUUCGAUGCAACGCGAAGAACCUUACCAAGGCUUGACAUAUACGGUCUAUCCCUAGAGAUAGGGAGUGCUUCGGCGCCGUAUACAGGUGGUGCAUGGUUGUCGUCAGCUCGUGUCGUGAGAUGUUGGGUUAAGUCCCGCAACGAGCGCAACCCUCGUUCUAUGUUGCCAGCACGUAAUGGUGGGGACUCAUAGGAGACUGCCGGGGUCAACUCGGAGGAAGGUGGGGAUGACGUCAAAUCAUCAUGCCCCUUAUGUCUUGGGCUUCACGCAUGCUACAAUGGCCGGUACAAAGGGCUGCAAUACCGUAAGGUGGAGCGAAUCCCAAAAGCCGGUCUCAGUUCGGA
This 519-nucleotide ribosomal RNA is filed under the name uncultured bacterium. RNAcentral describes it as "bacterial SSU rRNA". It matches the Rfam family "Bacterial small subunit ribosomal RNA", at positions 777 to 1297 of the family's 1533-position model. The record is from RNAcentral.